This 1186-nucleotide ribosomal RNA is filed under the name uncultured fungus. Its description in RNAcentral is "eukaryotic LSU rRNA". The stretch from base 520 to 1186 matches the Rfam family "Eukaryotic large subunit ribosomal RNA", at positions 1 to 649 of the family's 3401-position model. Lineage: Eukaryota; Fungi. The record is from RNAcentral.
GUCGUAACAAGGUUUCCGUAGGUGAACCUGCGGAAGGAUCAUUAUUGAAAUAAACCUGAUGGGUUGUUGCUGGUUCUCUAGGGAGCAUGUGCACGCCUUGUCAUCUUUAUAUUUUGCUUCAUUUACCCCCCAAUGUAUGUCAAUAGAAUGUUGUGCCUAUAAUAAUAUAUACAACUUUCAGCAACGGAUCUCUUGGCUCUCGCAUCGAUGAAGAACGCAGCGAAAUGCGAUAAGUAAUGUGAAUUGCAGAAUUCAGUGAAUCAUCGAAUCUUUGAACGCACCUUGCGCUCCUUGGUAUUCCGAGGAGCAUGCCUGUUUGAGUGUCAUUAAUAUAUAUAUCAAACUUUCUCUUUGUUGAGUGGUUUGGAUGUGGGGGUUUGCUGGCCUCUUAAAAAGGUUCAGCUCCUCUGAAAUGCAUUAGCAGAACAAACCUGUUCAUUGGUGUGAUAACUAUCUACGCUAUUGAAUGUAAGGGGCAGUUCAGCUUUCUAAUGGUCUUUGGACAAUUCAUCAUUAAUGUGACCUCAAAUCAGGUAGGACUACCCGCUGAACUUAAGCAUAUCAAUAAGCGGAGGAAAAGAAACUAACAAGGAUUCCCCUAGUAACUGCGAGUGAAGCGGGAAAAGCUCAAAUUUAAAAUCUGGCGGUCCUUUGGCUGUCCGAGUUGUAAUCUAGAGAAGUGUUAUCCGCGCUGGACCGUGUACAAGUCUCCUGGAAUGGAGCAUCAUAGAGGGUGAGAAUCCCGUCUUUGACAUGGACUACCGGGGCUUUGUGAUGCGCUCUCAAAGAGUCGAGUUGUUUGGGAAUGCAGCUCAAAAUGGGUGGUAAAUUCCAUCUAAAGCUAAAUAUUGGCGAGAGACCGAUAGCGAACAAGUACCGUGAGGGAAAGAUGAAAAGAACUUUGGAAAGAGAGUUAAACAGUACGUGAAAUUGCUGAAAGGGAAACGCUUGAAGUCAGUCACGUCGUCCAGGGAUCAACCUUGCUUUUGCUUGGUGCACUUUCUGGUUUGACGGGUCAGCAUCAAUUUUGACCAUUGGAAAAAGGCUAAGGGAAUGUGGCAUCCUUGGAUGUGUUAUAGCCCUUGGUCACAUACAAUGGUUGGGAUUGAGGAACUCAGCAUGCCGCAAGGCCGGGUUUUAAACCACGUACGUGCUUAGGAUGCUGGCAAUAUGGCUUUAAUCGACC